AGAGUUUGAUCAUGGCUCAGAUUGAACGCUGGCGGCAGGCCUAACACAUGCAAGUCGAACGGUAACAGGAAGAAGCUUGCUUCUUUGCUGACGAGUGGCGGACGGGUGAGUAAUGUCUGGGAAACUGCCUGAUGGAGGGGGAUAACUACUGGAAACGGUAGCUAAUACCGCAUAACGUCGCAAGACCAAAGAGGGGGACCUUCGGGCCUCUUGCCAUCGGAUGUGCCCAGAUGGGAUUAGCUAGUAGGUGGGGUAACGGCUCACCUAGGCGACGAUCCCUAGCUGGUCUGAGAGGAUGACCAGCCACACUGGAACUGAGACACGGUCCAGACUCCUACGGGAGGCAGCAGUGGGGAAUAUUGCACAAUGGGCGCAAGCCUGAUGCAGCCAUGCCGCGUGUAUGAAGAAGGCCUUCGGGUUGUAAAGUACUUUCAGCGGGGAGGAAGGGAGUAAAGUUAAUACCUUUACUCAUUGACGUUACCCGCAGAAGAAGCACCGGCUAACUCCGUGCCAGCAGCCGCGGUAAUACGGAGGGUGCAAGCGUUAAUCGGAAUUACUGGGCGUAAAGCGCACGCAGGCGGUUUGUUAAGUCAGAUGUGAAAUCCCCGGGCUCAACCUGGGAACUGCAUCUGAUACUGGCAAGCUUGAGUCUCGUAGAGGGGGGUAGAAUUCCAGGUGUAGCGGUGAAAUGCGUAGAGAUCUGGAGGAAUACCGGUGGCGAAGGCGGCCCCCUGGACGAAGACUGACGCUCAGGUGCGAAAGCGUGGGGAGCAAACAGGAUUAGAUACCCUGGUAGUCCACGCCGUAAACGAUGUCGACUUGGAGGUUGUGCCCUUGAGGCGUGGCUUCCGGAGCUAACGCGUUAAGUCGACCGCCUGGGGAGUACGGCCGCAAGGUUAAAACUCAAAUGAAUUGACGGGGGCCCGCACAAGCGGUGGAGCAUGUGGUUUAAUUCGAUGCAACGCGAAGAACCUUACCUGGUCUUGACAUCCACAGAACUUUCCAGAGAUGGAUUGGUGCCUUCGGGAACUGUGAGACAGGUGCUGCAUGGCUGUCGUCAGCUCGUGUUGUGAAAUGUUGGGUUAAGUCCCGCAACGAGCGCAACCCUUAUCCUUUGUUGCCAGCGGUCCGGCCGGGAACUCAAAGGAGACUGCCAGUGAUAAACUGGAGGAAGGUGGGAAUGACGUCAAGUCAUCAUGGCCCUUACGACCAGGGCUACACACGUGCUACAAUGGCGCAUACAAAGAGAAGCGACCUCGCGAGAGCAAGCGGACCUCAUAAAGUGCGUCGUAGUCCGGAUUGGAGUCUGCAACUCGACUCCAUGAAGUCGGAAUCGCUAGUAAUCGUGGAUCAGAAUGCCACGGUGAAUACGUUCCCGGGCCUUGUACACACCGCCCGUCACACCAUGGGAGUGGGUUGCAAAAGAAGUAGGUAGCUUAACCUUCGGGAGGGCGCUUACCACUUUGUGAUUCAUGACUGGGGUGAAGUCGUAACAAGGUAACCGUAGGGGAACCUGCGGUUGGAUCACCU
RNAcentral lists this ribosomal RNA (1530 nucleotides) under Escherichia coli DEC12C. RNAcentral describes it as "bacterial SSU rRNA". It matches the Rfam family "Bacterial small subunit ribosomal RNA". The record is from RNAcentral. Lineage: Bacteria; Pseudomonadati; Pseudomonadota; Gammaproteobacteria; Enterobacterales; Enterobacteriaceae.